Lolium rigidum is the source of this 1896-nucleotide long non-coding RNA. RefSeq lists it as uncharacterized. Lineage: Eukaryota; Viridiplantae; Streptophyta; Magnoliopsida; Poales; Poaceae. The record is from RefSeq and is a predicted model, not a curated record. The transcript is spliced from 5 exons.
CCCGCACUGUCGGGAGAUUGGGGAGGACGGUCGUCCGGCUGAGAGGUCCGGCCUCCUCAUCUCCAUCCACAUCACCAGCGUCUCCUCGCGGGUCCCAUGUCUGGUUCCUAAGGCCUCACUCCGUCUGCACCUACUUCCAGGAGCUGGGGUUGCGGUGGCCAGGAUGUGCGCCUGUAACUCGGCCCUUGCCGUCGGUCUCUGAAGUGCUUCUCCCAGAUUGAUCUGUAUUUGGAGGUGGUACAUUUGAUGAGUAUUAGUAUGGUGCAGUACGAGCCAUUUUGAUUAUUUACUCCCGAGUACUGUACAAAUAUGAGAGAUAUUCAUGCAUCUCAUAUUAUUGAAGAAUACCUCGAUGAGCAUACUCUAAACCCUGAUGUUCUCUUCAACCCAAGAAUAAAUUUUGAUUCGCUGACUAGACGAGCAAGGUAACCAAGCCGAGGAGAGACCUGUUGAUUUGGACUUGCAGGAGCAUGUCUCAUAUGGCUUCACUAUGGUGCUCACAUUAUCGGGAUUUUCGGAUUUCCUCUUCAUAUGUUAUUCAAUAGUCAAGCUGAUUGAAGUGUACUAUUGCAACUUGUAUGUAUGUGUUCACCAGUGCUGCAGUAGGUAUAUAGAGCCAGGGGGAGAUAGGGAGGUUGCCAAAGAUGGACCUAGGGCGAGGAGACUCUUUAACUUUCAACGGAGCACAACCAUAUUAAAAGAUGGUGAUCAAUCAAUUGAGUGAGCUCACCCUGGGCUGGCUGUAGCAUCACUGUGGAGGAACCGAUGAUGGUCCCGUAAAAUACACUGACAUAGUGUUUCAGGACAAACAUGUAUUCAGCCUGAUCUUUAGAUGUCUGGACGUUUAAGUUCUCGCGUAUUGAGUUUAUGAAUUUGUUCUUAGAUGAUGUUUUUGCGUGAAAUUUUUCAUGUGCCUUCAGAACUAUUUAGAGUUCUGGUAUUUGGAGGAUAUUUCUUGUGACAUCGAACCACAAUAGCCUGGAAACAUACUAAUAGUUUUCCUCUUGUGUUUUUAGAACUCUGGGACUGGACUGAACUUUUUUGACAAAUCACCCACUCAUCUUAUAAUAUAUCAUUGAUCGGUGGAUUUUGUAGGAAAGGAUGAUCAAGAUAUGGAAAUUUUGUGCAUGACAUGAAGCAAUAGAAUUAAUGCUUUCUAUAAACAUAUCUGAACUAUCGACCUCAUUGUUCCAUAUGUAUUUUCCCAUAUGUUCUCCCUAUGUUUUGAGUGAUUAGUUGUGAUACUUCAAGUAAAGUAUGCUUUUAAAAAUUUGAUUUCCCAACCCUGCAUUACCAAGGGCUCUCUUUGUUUGGCCGUUUCUUUCUUGAUCAUAUCUUUUCACUUUAUUGUAAUGUAUGGUAAACCGCUGAACUCCCUAAUUUGGCCAUGACUAAAGUAUGUUAUUAUCGUAUUGCCAAGGGUUUUGCAUGAUCGGGCCAUGAUAAAUUAUGAGUUAAUAAAACAUGAGUUCUAACGUGAUGCUUAAAAAUACUUGCACGUGUGGUAUAUGGUGUCUAAAGAGAGCCCCAGAGUCGCCCGAGCCAGGGAAAGGUUCACGAGAGACAUGCUUCUUUGGCUUGAGCACAACACAAGGUCUGAUUUAGUUCAAGUGUGAGAGCAGCAGUAAAAAUAAUUGGGUUCAUGGUGUACAAAAUCUGCUCCCGCAGGUUGAUGUAACUGAUCUGGUAGGACACCAGCUAGAAACACUAAAACUCAAUACAUCAAUAAAACAUGGCAGUAUCAUGUAUGGAUUUCCAUUCCAGUUUGAGGCAUGAGUUUAAUAGAGAUAUGGGUUUGUAAUCAUUUACCCCUGUAGGAGAACUAUUUUUUGAUAUACGUUAUUAGAUAAUUAUUUAUGCUGCCCAAGAUAAAUUUUCCUUCUGAAAAUUGCUGCA